AAUUUUCUAGGUUUUCGGAUACCAGAUCGAUCGGCCCCUCCCCCUCCAUGGCGGAGGUCGUCGACGCGCCCGCCGAAACGCUAGAUCGAGGGCGGGAUCGCCAGCCGGAACCACGCGAGAGCCCUGGCGACGGGUCCUCCUCCCCGCCGCCACCGCCUCCGAGGAGGAGGGACAGGGAUUCGAGGGAGCGGAGGGACGAUUGGCCCCCGAGCCGGCGGGAUGAUCCCCACGAUCCGAGGAACCGCUCACCGCCGCUUCCCCCGCCUCCGCCUCUGGGGCCGCCGAGGGACGACAAGGAUCGGGAGUACCGUAGGCGGAGCAGCCCGAGCCCACCGACGUACCGUGACCGCCGACAUUCGCCUCCCCGCCGGUCCCCUCCGCCUGGGCCAUUUAAGCGAGCUAGGAGGGAUGACGGUGGAUAUGACCGGCGUCGAGGUAGCCCGAGAGGUGGUUAUGGACCGGAUGACAGAAGAUAUGGCUAUGAUUAUGGUGGUGGAUACAAUCGUAGAGGUUGGUACAGAGACGAGAGGUCUCAUGGUCGCUAUACAAAUCGCCCAUCUGAUUGGCCUGAUAUAGGAUAUGGUGAUUAUGGUGAUGGCCCUGAGGUUAUUCAAAGGGGAGGUUUGAUGUCAUAUAAGCAGUUCAUUCAAGAACUUGAAGAUGAUAUUUUUCCUGCUGAAGCUGAACGCAGAUAUGAGGAGUACAGGUCAGAGUACAUCUCCACGCAGAAGCGAGCUUAUUUUGAAGCUCAUAAAGAAGAGCAAUGGCUGAAAGACAAGUAUCAUCCAACUAACUUGGUAGCAGUCAUUGAAAGGAGGAAAGAACAGGCCAGAUCUGUUGCAAAGGAGUUCUUGCUUGAUUUGCAGAGCGGGACACUUGACCUUGGUCCUGGAGUAACAGUUUCAUCAACAAGCAAAUCUGGGAAUGGUAGUGAACCAAACUCUGAAGAUGAGGCAGACACUAAUGGAAAACGAAGAAGGCACAAUAAGGGGCCAGCAAAAGAAAAUGAUCUGCACUCUGCUGCCCUUAAGGCACACCCAGUCAGUUCUGAGCCUCGGAGAAUUCAAGCUGACAUUGAACAAGCUCAGGCCUUGGUCCGUAAACUUGACAUGGAGAAGGGUCUACAGGAUAAUGUCCUCUCUAGUAGUGGUCAUGAUAAGUUGGAUGCAGAGAAAUCUCGUGGGGGAUCCAUGGGGCGAAUUAUCAUUAUACGUGGCCUGACUACUGUCAAGGGCCUUGAAGGUGUCGAAUUGUUAGAUACUUUGAUCACAUUUCUGUGGCGCAUCCAUGGAUUGGAUUACUAUGGCAUGUCUGAGACAUCUGAAUUAAAGGGUCUUCGACAUGUUAGGGCUGACAAUAAGACUCAUGAUGGAACUAAUGCUAGUGGAUCUGACUGGGAGAAGAAACUUGAUUCAUUUUGGCUGGCAAGAUUGCAAGGUCAGGAUCCCUUGGAAACAUUGACAGCCAAAGAUAAGAUUGAUGCAGCAGCUACCGAGGCCCUAGAUCCUUUUGUAAGGAAAAUACGAGAUGAAAAAUAUGGCUGGAAGUAUGGAUGUGGAGCUAAGGGCUGCACGAAACUUUUCCAUGCUCCCGAAUAUGUUCAUAAGCAUCUUAGACUGAAACACCCAGACCUUGUGAUCGAGCUCACCUCGAAAGUUCGAGAGGAUCUGUAUUUUCAAAAUUAUAUGAAUGAUCCCAAUGCACCAGGCGGGACACCUGUCAUGCAGCAGUCUGCAUUGGUGAAAAUGCAAAGACGGAGGCCACUGUUAGAUAACCGCCUUAGAGAUGAACGUGGCAAUCGCAGAGAUCUUGACAGGAAUGAUAGAGAUGAUGACAGGCAUGAUAGGUCUGACAACUCCCCUCGCGAUGGCAAUGGUAGCUUGGAGGGGGAGAAUCAUGAGAAACUUCUAUAUGAUGCUUAUGGUGGACAAGGCUUGCAUGGGGCAUUUCCUUCGGAUAUUCCUCCUCCAUUGUUGUUGCCUGUUCCUGGUGCUGGGCCACUAGGACCUUUUAUCCCUGCCCCACCGGAGAUUGCCAUGCACAUGUUGAGGGAGACUGGUGGGUCAUCAUCAUUUGAGUCUAAUGGUGGAUCUCGUGGUAGGAAGGGAAGGCUUGGUCCACAAGUGAGUGGUCCAGCUCCAAUUCUUCCUAUACCUUCAGCAUUUCGGCAUGAUCCCCGUCGAAUAAGAAGAUAUCUAUCUGAUGGAGAAGAUAUUUCAUUUCCGACUUGAACUCAAGACUUAUCCCGAGACUUGACUCGUGAUCUGGAUCCUAAUUGGGAGUGGGAAGUGGCAUCUCUCCUGAUGACAAAUCCCCAUUUGUGAGUUAAGUCACGAGCUAAGUCUUAAGUUUAAGUCGGGAUGACAAGCAGCAGUGCCAUCCAUGGGCAAGAGUUGGGACGUUUCACGAGGGUCGGCAACUCAUCCUGGACAUGACGAGCUUGUCCUCCGACACUGGUGGGCCAACGGUGGAGCUGUUCUACUUCGGCCGGCACAGGAUACGUCUCGACGCGCUGGUGUGCCACCCAGUCCAUGAGCCCGCUGUGCCGAAAAGAUGUUUACUUUAAGGUAAUAAAAAGAAGCUUUAAGCCCAGCCUGGCCUAUCUGAUCUUUUGAUAUAAGAUAUGGUUGGGGGGCAUGCCAACAAGUGGUUUUUCUAUACUAACACCUAUCUGAUCCAUUUGAGAUGGGUUAGGACAUCUGCUACCUACUUUUUUUUUCCUUUAUUUCCGACUAUCCACGUCUAUUCAACCCACUUGAAAGUUCCAAGUAGGGAAACAACAAUGUGAGUUAUAUUUCAGGUGAGUUUGAAUAUUUGCAUAAUUAAUUGGAUUCGACAAUCAAAUACAAGUUGGACUUUGGAUCAUAAAUAAACACAGCGACACUCUUAACAUGGCUCUCAGUAUCUAUCAUGUGCUUUUGUUGAUGGGUUUCAGCUGGUUUCAAAAAUUUAAGCUGGAGAACCAACUCCAUGGAUGCUUCUGACGGUAGAUGAGCUGAAGAAGGAGGGGCAGGAUCAAGAUGGGUCAACCUGAGGUAUCGUCCCAAUCACGCACACGGCCUUUGUUUUAGUGCAAACACAUGUCAAGGGGUGUGGGGCCAUGUCUGUUCCACUAAAAGUGACAUGUUAGGAAUCGCCACCCUCAAAGUGGGUACUAAAGUCAGGCAGCCUUACACCUGUAAAGCUUGUGGCGGACCCCCUCACUCAUUGAGGUCAAAUGUUCCCUGUGUUGGUUCAAUUGACUUGGAAUGGGCUUUUCAGUGAGACGAUGGUCUUGCAAUUGCAUUUGUAGGCCCCUCUUCUUUUUGUUGGCAUAUGCUCAUGCUUGUUCUUCUUCACCUUUGAAAUUUGAGUGUCAAGGCAACAUUUUAUAUCGUUA
RNA transcript from Musa acuminata AAA Group (dessert banana), 3379 nucleotides. It is a transcript of the gene named serrate RNA effector molecule, with no coding region annotated. The transcript is spliced from 13 exons. The record is from RefSeq and is a predicted model, not a curated record. Lineage: Eukaryota; Viridiplantae; Streptophyta; Magnoliopsida; Zingiberales; Musaceae.